Molecule: unclassified non-coding RNA, 336 nt
Filed under: soil metagenome
Description: partial contains 5.8S ribosomal RNA, internal transcribed spacer 2, and large subunit ribosomal RNA
Rfam family: 5.8S ribosomal RNA (bases 1-120)
Source: RNAcentral
GAUGAAGAACGUAGCGAAAUGCGAUAAGUAAUGUGAAUUGCAGAAUUCAGUGAAUCAUCGAAUCUUUGAACGCACAUUGCGCCCGCCAGUAUUCUGGCGGGCAUGCCUGUUCGAGCGUCAUUUCAACCAUCAAGCCCCCGGGCUUGUGUUGGGGACCUGCGGCUGCCGCAGGCCCUGAAAAGCAGUGGCGGGCUCGCUGUCACACCGAGCGUAGUAGCAUACAUCUCGCUCUGGGCGUGCUGCGGGUUCCGGCCGUUAAACUACCCUUUUAACCCAAGGUUGACCUCGGAUCAGGUAGGAAGACCCGCUGAACUUAAGCAUAUCAAUAAGCGAGGA